Molecule: ribosomal RNA, 433 nt
Filed under: uncultured bacterium
Lineage: Bacteria
Description: partial 16S ribosomal RNA
Rfam family: Bacterial small subunit ribosomal RNA
Source: RNAcentral
AACGAACGCUGGCGGCAUGCCUAACACAUGCAAGUCGAACGAGACCUUCGGGUCUAGUGGCGCACGGGUGCGUAACGCGUGGGAACCUGCCCUUAGGUUCGGAAUCACUCCCCGAAAGGGGUGCUAAUACCGGAUAAUGUCUUCGGACCAAAGAUUUAUCGCCUUUGGAUGGGCCCGCGUUGGAUUAGCUAGUUGGUAGGGUAAAAGCCUACCAACGCGACGAUCCAUAGCUGGUCUGAGAGGAUGAUCAGCCACACUGGGACUGAGACACGGCCCAGACUCCUACGGGAGGCAGCAGUGGGGAAUAUUGGACAAUGGGCGAAAGCCUGAUCCAGCAAUGCCGCGUGAGUGAUGAAGGCCUUAGGGUUGUAAAGCUCUUUUACCCGGGAUGAUAAUGACAGUAACGGGAGAAUAAGCUCCGGCUAACUCCGUG